This 429-nucleotide long non-coding RNA is filed under the name Fukomys damarensis (Damara mole-rat). RNAcentral describes it as "lncRNA (ENSFDAG00000024759.1)". The record is from RNAcentral. Lineage: Eukaryota; Metazoa; Chordata; Mammalia; Rodentia; Bathyergidae.
CAUCUGGGCUCCGCGGUGGGGCCCUGGGUCCUGGGCAGCUGGCGACUCCAGGAUCUCGGGCCACAGUGCAGGGACACAGGGCGGGGCCCUCCGUGCAGAAAGAAGGAGGGCGGUGCCGGACGCCAUGCCCACAUAAGGUGGCCUUCGAGGCGGUGACAGGGGCAGACACGCGGGUAAACUGAGCAUUUGCAGGUGUGCGCACUCCCAUCCCGGAAACAGUGCUCAGAUUUGUUAGAGGCGGAGAUGCAGGACGCUCUUGUAGAGCAGAGUGCAGUCUCAGAGCAGGGAGCAGGUACAGCCGGCCCUGGGCCUCCAGGGUUCGGGUGGUGGGAAGCAGGAUCCUAAUCCACACCGCAGUCCGUCUCCUGUGGGAGAGGGUGGCAAGGGCCCGUUCAUGUGGGAAAUCCUGACGGGUCGUCCAUUCCCCCA